Long non-coding RNA from Leguminivora glycinivorella, 315 nucleotides. RefSeq lists it as uncharacterized. The transcript is spliced from 3 exons. NCBI's taxonomy places the organism in Eukaryota, Metazoa, Arthropoda, Insecta, Lepidoptera, Tortricidae. The record is from RefSeq and is a predicted model, not a curated record.
GGCCACGCUUCAGGUUGGACCGUCUUCCAUAUAUCUACUGACUUCAUAUAAAUGAAAGUGUACUAAAGGCUCACUGAUCUACACUACCAGCUCAUGCUCAACGUUACUGAACAACAAAGUAAUCCGACAAUCAGACUGGACCCGGUCAUGUUAGAAUCCAGAGGUAGGAAAUGAACAUACAAUCGACUCCGCAUCGAUGCAUGACCUCUCCCGGAACGCGUCAAGAAUUAACAAUGGAAGAAAAUACUACAGACGUGUUUACUAACAAUAAAGUUAUUUUUGUUUUUAUGAAAUAGCGAUUGAAUAAAAAUAUUA